RNAcentral lists this long non-coding RNA (820 nucleotides) under Marmota monax (woodchuck). The record is from RNAcentral. Lineage: Eukaryota; Metazoa; Chordata; Mammalia; Rodentia; Sciuridae.
AGGGGGGAUGGGCUAUGAGGAGAAUUGUUUAUCCACCUGUACAGGGAAUCCUUAGCGAUCCUAGUCCAUUUGUGGGUCCCCAAAUAUCUCCAUUGUGGAAUUGCUUCAGGCCCCUGACAUUUGGAAGUGUGGGUACAGAAUGGUUCUAACCAGCUCUCCAGCCUCCAGGAUUUAGGCAAAGAGGAUAAAAAGCUGUGCUGUGCUGUGUCUCACCUACUGUCCUUGGAGCAUUAUCAACACUGACAGAUAACCAGAGCUCAGCCAGAUGACUCACCAGGGAGGUUUAACUCCUUCAGGGAUGGUUCAGAGCCGGCUCCCAGGAUAUUGGGGAAAACAACCAGAUACAGGGAGAUUUGUUUAUUGGUUUGACAAAUAUUUACUGAGCACCUAGAAGGGACAGACCCUGAGCAACACAGAGGGGUCUCAGUUUUCACGUAGUUGGACUCCCCCAGAGAGGGAGGCAAGAACUAAACAAGGUGUUUAAAUAAAAACAGGACAAGUCAGCUUGCAAUUAAAUGCUGGGAAGAUAAGGGACAGGUCAGCAGCUCUUUGGAUUUGAGAGCAUCAAAAUCACCUGGAGGUCUUAAAAAAACACAGGUGGGCAGGCCCAUCCCCAGAAUGUCUUGUUCAGUGUGCCUGAGGGUGGGGAUGGAGGACUUGUGUUUCUAACAUGCGCUCAGGUGCUGUUGGUCCCUGGACCAACUUUGAGAAGCAGACUAGGGUGACAUCUUGAAGGAGUGGGAGAAGAGGCUGGUUUAGAGGCAGAUCGGGAGGCUCAAGUGAGAGGCCGGAUGAUUGUGCCCCUAUUUAAUUGUCUGGA